AAGUUUAAAUAGAUGUGAUAUUAAAGUAUAUUUCAGUUUACCAUAAAUGUUUGUUGGUAUAUUUUUGUUGGUCAGCAGUACACUUUAACCAUAUUUCAAAGACAACUAAAUAGUAAUUACAUAUAAAGAUGUACCGAAGUCCUACUUAAGUCUGUCAAAAAGCACUCCACUGUUCAGAUAACUGCAUGCUUCUAAUAAAAAUGUAAAUCUAUAAUAUAUUUUCAAUCAUUUAAUUGCAAAUAAUAAACAAUUAAGUGUCUGAAAACAUUACAAUCAGUGUACUUCUUUUCACAAGGGCAUGUUUUUGUUAUAUGAGAAAACAGAAGUGCAAACAUUUUUCACAACAUUCCCUUUUGUUUUCCAUAAAAGAACAAAAGUCAUACGACUUUAAAGUGACAUUAAGGUUGAAUGAAUGAUGACAGAAAUGUCUUUUUUGGGUAAACUAACCCACAAAUAACUAACCCAAGAGUCUCGAUUUGCUCACCCUUUAAUCUCCUGCUGUCUAGGAGAAACAAUUAAGACUUUAAAGUAAUCUUUUUCUCCUCCACUAACAACUCAAUCAAAUAUUUUCUCUUCUUGCUGAAGGCUUCCUGUUUAUUUUACAGAUUGUAUAUUUGGUCGUGGUGGACUUGUGCCGUGACACCACACCGGCUCUUGAGACGUCCGUGUGUUUGGGUUAGUGGUUAGAGCAGAGAGCAGACCUGGAGUGCACUGGACUAUAGGCUGCAUGGGCUACAGACACUGCAUCCAUUCAGGCCUGGUUACACACACAUUAUAGAGUCAGGAUUGUCUUCCAGCUCAUGUGGCAAUGCCAGGAAUGCUGAGCACUGGUUCCUCUCUGGAAAAAAAAAGACAUUUUUAUCCCUUCCCCACUCCAGCCUAUUCCUUUCUCUCCCAUCAAACACUUGAAAUAAUUUUACAGUAUCAUCCACAAUAAAGAUAUAGACCAAAAUGGCACAUUGUGUUAUUCACUGGAAGUUACAUUCUGUUCUUGCCUUUAUAGUUUCAUAAUCCACACGAACAUUGAACACUGCAUAUUCUCUCAAGG
Molecule: long non-coding RNA, 1048 nt
Organism: Cyprinus carpio carpio
Lineage: Eukaryota; Metazoa; Chordata; Actinopteri; Cypriniformes; Cyprinidae
Source: Ensembl